CAAAAACAUCGCCUCCUGAUUAAAUAUAAGAGGUCCAGCCUGCCCAGUGAUAAUAUUUAACGGCCGCGGUAUACUGACCGUGCGAAGGUAGCAUAAUCACUUGUUCUUUAAAUAGGGACUCGUAUCAACGGCAUCACGAGGGCUAUACUGUCUCCCCUCUCCAAUCAGUGAAACUGAUCCCCCCGUGAAGAAGCGGGGAUUUGACUAUAAGACGAGAAGACCCCAUGGAGCUUUAAACUCAACAUGUACCUGUAUAACUAUUUAUCAAUUUAACCUCAAGGCCUGCAUGUUAGCUUUCGGCUGGGGGGGCCACGGAGUAAAAUCAAACCUCCACAACAAACGGGCAAAUACCCUUAUCUACGACUGACAAAUCCAAGAAUCACCAAAGUGAUGUUUAAUGAUCCGACAACUCGAUUAAUGAACCAAGUUACCCUGGGGAUAACAGCGCAAUCCGCUUCAAGAGCCCAUAUCGACAAGCGGGUUUACGACCUCGAUGUUGGAUCAGGGUAUCCUAGUGGUGCAACCGCUACUAAUGGUUCGUUUGUUCAACGAUUAAAACCCUACGUGAUCUGAGUUCAGACCGG
Molecule: ribosomal RNA, 584 nt
Filed under: Odorrana tiannanensis (Dawei frog)
Lineage: Eukaryota; Metazoa; Chordata; Amphibia; Anura; Ranidae
Description: partial 16S ribosomal RNA
Rfam family: Bacterial large subunit ribosomal RNA
Source: RNAcentral